Molecule: long non-coding RNA, 2406 nt
Filed under: Equus caballus (horse)
Lineage: Eukaryota; Metazoa; Chordata; Mammalia; Perissodactyla; Equidae
Description: lncRNA (ENSECAG00000055443.1)
Source: RNAcentral
UCCAAAUUCCCUGAAACAGAGUGAGUGCACAGACAGAGGAAGGCCAGGAGCGUAAUGCUCAUAAACUCCAGCCACCGGGAAAGAAACUUCAGGAGUGAGGAGUGAAGUCCAUACUUCCCAGCGGUGAGGACUCUGUAGUUCGUUUCUGACCCACAAGCACUCGCAGGUGCGUUUGAGCCCCGUCUGUUCUUUGCGGAGAUUGAUCUGGCUCCAGUGGGGGGUCAAUAAUAGUGGCUAUUAUUUAUUGACCUCUCACUUUGCCAGGUGUCUUACACAUAUUACUUCUAAUGUUUUGAGGGAAGCUUUACUGUACCCAUUUUGCAGCUGAGAACAUUAAGUCUCAGAGGAUUAAGCCAGGUCUCCAGCCAAUGAGUGGCAAAGUCAGGAUUCAACCCCACAUCUAUAUGGCUCCAACUUCUGCGUCCUUCCUGUGUCCCCUCCAGGAAGGAGCCAGAGAUUUGGGAAGUACAGCAAAUCCUAUCCUCCCCUUAAAUUCAGGUAUUCUGACUCAAAAGCUGAGGCAUCCUUGCCCUCUUACUCCCCGGCCUGCAUCACAAACUCUAAGGAAUAAACUCUGGGACGGAGAUUUGACUCUCGGGUGUGGUGUAAUUUAGGGAUGCCUGCCACAGCAUGGUUUGACAAGCGGUGCCAUGUCUGCACCCAGGAUCCGAACCAGUGAACCCUGGGCUGCUGAAGUGGAAUGUGCAAGUUUAACUACUGCGCCACCAGGUGAGCCCCCCAAUUUUUUUAUUAUAGCCAUCCUAGUAGUGUGAAGAUGUAUCUCAAUAUGGUUUUACUAUGCAUUUCCCAAAUGAUUAAUCAUGUUGAGCAUGUGCUUAUUGGCCAUUUGUAUAUCUUCUUUGGAGAAAUGUCCAUUCAAAUCCUUUGCCCUUUUUAAUUGGUUUGUCUUUUUAUUGUUGAAUUAUAAAAACUCUUUAUAUAUUCUGGAUACUAGGCCCUUAUCAGAUAUGUGAUUUACAAACACUUCUCUCAUUCUGUGAGUUGUCGUUUCAUUUUUUUGAUAGUGUCCUUUGACACAUAAAGGUUCUUAAUUUUGAUGAAGUCCAAUUUAUCUAUAUUUCCUUUGGUUCCUUGUGUUUUUGGUGUCAAAACUAAGAAACAAUUGCCUAAUCAAAGGUCACAAAGAUUUACACCCAUAUUUCCUUCAAAGAGUUUUCUCCCAUUCUGUGAGUUGUCUUUUCACUCUCUUGAUAGUGUCCUUUGAUGCACGAAAGUUUUUAAUUUUGAUGAAGUUCAAUGUAUCUAUUUUUUAUUUUAUUGACUGUGCUUUUGGUGUUAUAUCCAAGAAAUCAUUGCCAAAUUCAAUUUCAUGAAGAUUUUCCCCCAUGUUUUCUUCUAAGAGUUUUAUAAUUUUAGGGUUUUGAUCCAUUUUGAGCUAAUUUUUGUAUACGAUAAAGAUCCAACUUUGUUCUUUAGCAUAUGGAUAUCCAGCUUUCCCAGCACCAUUUGUUGAAAAGAUUACCUUUUCCCCAUAGAAAGGCAUCCAUCAUGGAUCUUGGCACUUCUGUUGAAAAUCGAUUGACCAUAGAUGUGAGGGUUUAUUUCUCAGCUCUCUAUUCUAUUACAGUGGUCCGUAUGCCUGUCGUUAUGCCAGUACCACACCAUUUUGAUUACUGCCGGAGGCAGAAUCAACAUUUGAUCGGCUGUUUGACAGGGUCCAGCCAAUGAGAAGAGCUGAGGGGUGCAGGGCGCGCCUCCGCAAGAAAAUGAAAAGCCAGCCUUCCCCCAAGCUAUGCUGAACUUUAAAAACUUGUUUUUCUUCUCUUUGUCUUAUACCCCACUUUCCUACUCAUGCUGUAAUUUUCCAGAUGGCCGCUUUAGAGAAAAGGGCAUGCUCCCCCCACGAGGUUGGUACUGAGAAAAUUAUGUGACCACCUGCGCAUAGUCUUCAGGAUAUCGCAAGGGGCAAGUUCCCCCUGAGGCACAUAGAUAGUGGGAGAACAUUCCUCCCUAAUGAGGGGUUCAUACUGAAGAGAGUAUUUGGAUCAAAGCAGUUGCCUCCUUCUAGUUAAUGUUUUGCUAUUCCUCCACUUUCCCUGAUAAGAAUAGAUAUACCACUUCCUCUGUAGUUAAUUAGAAAAUUCCUCCAUAUGUUAGUUAUUGAAAAUAUAUUGUUCCUUUCAAUGUGUUUCGCAAGACUUUAUAGAAGUCUUUUUCUUAGAAACUGCUGAUAAUAGAUAUUACUGAAGUCGCUUUUGUGCAGGAAAAGAUAGUUAACCUCGGCCCCCCCUAAAAGUUAACUCUGUUCCCUGUAAGAUUAUACAUAUCAAUGAUUGCCUUUUGGUUUACUCUGCAAGAACAUCUGUACUGCUAUAUUUAUCCCCUGCUAAAAAAGAUAUAAAAACGCUGUGAAAACCCAGUAAAGCUAGACUUGCUUGCACCGAC